Molecule: unclassified non-coding RNA, 310 nt
Filed under: uncultured Typhula
Lineage: Eukaryota; Fungi; Basidiomycota; Agaricomycetes; Agaricales; Typhulaceae
Description: partial contains 5.8S ribosomal RNA, internal transcribed spacer 2, and large subunit ribosomal RNA
Rfam family: 5.8S ribosomal RNA (bases 1-52)
Source: RNAcentral
AACGCACCUUGCACUCUUUGGUAUUCCGAAGAGUAUGUCUGUUUGAGUGUCAUGAAACUCUCAACCCCCCUGUUUUGUAAUGAGACAGGCUGUGGGCUUGGAUUAUGGUUGUCUGUCGGCUUGUUUAACAGGUCGGCUCAACUGAAAUACACGAGCUACCCAACUUUUGAAUUAGACGGCUUGACUCGGCGUAAUAAUCUAUUUCGCUGAGGACGUCUUGCUUUCAAAUUAAUAGUGGUGCUUCUAAUGCAUUAGAAAUAAUCUUUUAACUUUAGACCUCAAAUCAGUCAGGGCUACCCGCUGAACUUAA